GAAACCAACAGGGAUUGCCCCAGUAACGGCGAGUGAAGCGGCAAAAGCUCAAAUUUGAAAUCUGGCUCCUUAGGGGUCCGAGUUGUAAUUUGUAGAGGAUGCUUCGGGUGCGGCCACGGCCUAAGUUCCUUGGAACAGGACGUCAUAGAGGGUGAGAAUCCCGUCUUGGGUCGUUGGUCCACGCCCGUGUGAAGCUCCUUCGACGAGUCGAGUUGUUUGGGAAUGCAGCUCUAAGCGGGUGGUAAAUUUCAUCUAAAGCUAAAUAUUGGCCGGAGACCGAUAGCGCACAAGUAGAGUGAUCGAAAGGUUAAAAGCACCUUGAAAAGGGAGUUAAACAGCACGUGAAAUUGUUGAAAGGGAAGCGCUUGCGGCCAGACUCAGGCGCAGGGUUCAGCGGGUGCGUGUCACCCGUGCACUCCCUGCCGCCUGGGCCAGCAUCAGUUCUGACGGCCGGUCAAAGGCCCCCGGAAUGUGUCGUCUCUCGGGACGUCUUAUAGCCGGGGGUGCAAUGCGGCCCGUCGGGACUGAGGAACGCGCUUCGGCUCGGAUGCUGGCAUAAUGGCCGUAAGCGGCCCGUCUUGAAACACGGACCAAGGAGUCUAACAUCCACGCGAGUGUUCGGGUGUCAAACCCGUGCGCGCAGUGAAAGCGAACGGAGGUGGGAGCCUUAGGGCGCACCAUCGACCGAUCCUGAAGUCUUCGGAUGGAUUUGAGUAGGAGCGUGGCCGUUGGGACCCGAAAGAUGGUGAACUAUGCCUGAAUAGGGUGAAGCCAGAGGAAACUCUGGUGGAGGCUCGCAGCGGUUCUGACGUGCAAAUCGAUCGUCAAAUUUGGGCAUAGGGGCGAAAGACUAAUCGAACCAUCUAGUAGCUGGUUCCUGCCGAAGUUUCCCUCAGGAUAGCAGUAACGAAAUUCCAGUUUUAUGAGGUAAAGCGAAUGAUUA
RNAcentral lists this ribosomal RNA (943 nucleotides) under Arthroderma curreyi. RNAcentral's name for it is "eukaryotic LSU rRNA". It matches the Rfam family "Eukaryotic large subunit ribosomal RNA", at positions 61 to 1023 of the family's 3401-position model. The record is from RNAcentral. Lineage: Eukaryota; Fungi; Ascomycota; Eurotiomycetes; Onygenales; Arthrodermataceae.